GGUGGCGGCUGAACGGAAAUGAAAUCAAAUCGCACAGCUGCAGCCGGCGGCAAUAACACCGUUUGUGAGUUAUGGCCAAUGUUAAUUAAAAGCCAAGUGCCCAACUAGAGCUACACAUAAAUCAAUCUGGAUUGAGAGUUGGCACAACAUGCAGAACUGGCAUGCCAAUAUACCCCUGUCAAUGCCUAUUUACAUGGCCAGUGAAAAAUGGCCAUCAGAGGAGAGAGCAAAUAAUACCUGGCCAAGAGAAACGAAAACAAUCCAAAACGAAAUGACAUAAAGCGGCUUAC
Molecule: small RNA, 290 nt
Filed under: Drosophila erecta
Lineage: Eukaryota; Metazoa; Arthropoda; Insecta; Diptera; Drosophilidae
Description: GG26758
Source: RNAcentral